GACGAACGCUGGCGGCGUGCUUAACACAUGCAAGUCGAACGGAAAGGCCCUGCUUUUGUGGGGUGCUCGAGUGGCGAACGGGUGAGUAACACGUGAGUAACCUGCCCUUGACUUUGGGAUAACUUCAGGAAACUGGGGCUAAUACCGGAUAGGAGCUCCUGCUGCAUGGUGGGGGUUGGAAAGUUUCGGUGGUUGGGGAUGGACUAGCGGCUUAUCAGCUUGUUGGUGGGGUAGUGGCUUACCAAGGCUUUGACGGGUAGCCGGCCUGAGAGGGUGACCGGCCACAAUGGGACUGAGAUACGGCCCAGACUCGUACGGGAGGCAGCAGUGGGGAAUAUUGCACAAUGGGCGGGAGCCUGAUGCAGCAACGCCGCGUGCGGGAUGACGUCCUUCGAGUUGUAAACCGCUUUCGCCUGUGACGAAGCGUGAGUGACGGUAAUGGGUAAAGAAGCACCGGCUAACUACGUG
RNAcentral lists this ribosomal RNA (468 nucleotides) under uncultured bacterium. RNAcentral's name for it is "partial 16S ribosomal RNA". It matches the Rfam family "Bacterial small subunit ribosomal RNA", at positions 28 to 507 of the family's 1533-position model. The record is from RNAcentral.